Molecule: ribosomal RNA, 42 nt
Filed under: Ophiostoma himal-ulmi
Lineage: Eukaryota; Fungi; Ascomycota; Sordariomycetes; Ophiostomatales; Ophiostomataceae
Also listed under: 1 other name
Description: partial 28S ribosomal RNA
Source: RNAcentral
UGACCUCGGAUCAGGUAGGAUUACCCGCUGAACUUAAGCAUA